GACGAACGCUGGCGGCGUGCCUAAUACAUGCAAGUUGAGCGCUGAAGGUUGGUACUUGUACCAACUGGAUGAGCAGCAAACGGGUGAGUAACGCGUGGGGAAUCUGCCUUUGAGCGGGGGACAACAUUUGGAAACGAAUGCUAAUACCGCAUAAAAACUUUAAACACAAGUUUUAAGUUUGAAAGAUGCAAUUGCAUCACUCAAAGAUGAUCCCGCGUUGUAUUAGCUAGUUGGUGAGGUAAAGGCUCACCAAGGCGAUGAUACAUAGCCGACCUGAGAGGGUGCUCGGCCACAUUGGGACUGAGACACGGCCCAAACUCCUACGGGAGGCAGCAGUAGGGAAUCUUCGGCAAUGGACGAAAGUCUGACCGAGCAACGCCGCGUGAGUGAAGAAGGUUUUCGGAUCGUAAAACUCUGUUGGUAGAGAAGAACGUUGGUGAGAGUGGAAAGCUCAUCAAGUGACGGUAACUACCCAGAAAGGGACGGCUAACUACGUG
This 497-nucleotide ribosomal RNA is filed under the name uncultured bacterium. Its description in RNAcentral is "partial 16S ribosomal RNA". It matches the Rfam family "Bacterial small subunit ribosomal RNA", at positions 28 to 507 of the family's 1533-position model. The record is from RNAcentral.